This 253-nucleotide ribosomal RNA is filed under the name uncultured bacterium. RNAcentral describes it as "partial 16S ribosomal RNA". It matches the Rfam family "Bacterial small subunit ribosomal RNA", at positions 524 to 776 of the family's 1533-position model. The record is from RNAcentral.
UACGUAGGGUGCAAGCGUUGUCCGGAAUUAUUGGGCGUAAAGGGCUCGUAGGCGGUUUGUCGCGUCGGGUGUGAAAACUCAGGGCUUAACCCUGAGCCUGCUUCCGAUACGGGCAGACUAGAGGUAUGCAGGGGAGAACGGAAUUCCUGGUGUAGCGGUGAAAUGCGCAGAUAUCAGGAGGAACACCGGUGGCGAAGGCGGUUCUCUGGGCAUUACCUGACGCUGAGGAGCGAAAGUGUGGGGAGCGAACAGG